GAGAGAGAUUUUGUUACUCGUCAUGUCCCCUGUACCACUUGAAGACCUCCACCUGACUCCCUCUUAGUCACCCUUGUUGUGUCCCCUGUACCACUUGAAGACCUCCACCAGACCCCCUCUUAGUCACCCUUGUCAUGUCCCCUGUACCACUUGAAGACCUCCACCAGACCCCCUCUUAGUCACCCUUGUUGUGUCCCCUGUACCACUUGAAGACCUCCACCAGACCCCCUCUUAGUCACCCUUGUUGUGUCCCCUGUACCACUUGAAGACCUCCACCAGACCCCCUCUUAGUCACCCUUGUCAUGUCCCCUGUACCACUUGAAGACCUCCACCAGACCCCCUCUUAGUCACCCUUGUUGUGUCCCCUGUACCACUUGAAGACCUCCACCAGACCCCCUCUUAGUCACCCUUGUUGUGUCCCCUGUACCACUUGAAGACCUCCACCAGACCCCCUCUUAGUCACCCUUGUUGUGUCCCCUGUGCCACUUGAAGACCUCCACCAGACCCCCUCUUAGUCACCCUUGUUGUGUCCCCUGUACCACUUGAAGACCUCCACCUGACCCCCUCUUAGUCACCCUUCUCUGAGGUACAACAGUGUCUAGUCAUCCUUCCUAUGUCAUCCUUGUGUAAUCAGGAAUAAUUAUCAGCAUUUGUACUCCUCCUGUCUGUCUGUCUGUCUGUCUGUCUGUCUGUCUGUCUGUCUGUCUGUCUGUCUGCCUACCAGUUAAAAUGAUUUAUGUAGUCAGUUAUACUUGUGAAUACUGUGUGUGUGUGUGUGUGUGUGUGUGUAUGAAUUAAUGUUAAUUGUGAAGUAUCUGCCUGCCUGCUUGCAAAUUAAUUAUCAAUAUAGUUACUGUUUGUGUGUUUGUGUGUGUUAUAAAGCAAUCUUGUGUAUAUUAUUGGUUGUAUUCCACAUGUAUGGGCUGGCCAGACGUGAUGUACUGUGACAGCCAGAACCUUGACAUAUACUGCUUGAUAAAAUGAAAAUAAGCAAAAAAACAUGAAUAAAGUAAAAAUUUUGAGCCGAACUAAUGAGGACUUUCUCUCGUCUUUUUCAGAGGUGCGUACAUCUGCGAGUCACUCCAACCAACCUCUUAUAUCCUACCUUAUUCUGAUAUAUUAGGUUAGAUUCAGUUAGGUUACUUAUAUUGGGGGCCUGUCUUCCUUACUAACCUAACCUAACCUAACCCACUCCUUCCUUCUCGUCAAGCUGUUGGUGGGAGAAGCCCCAGGACUCUCAAGCGUGGGUUGAGUCACAACUGCGGGUGUGCUAGCUCACCUUGAAGUCCGACGGGGCUCACGUGUUGCAGUGUUGCAGUGUUGCAGUGUUGCAGAUCUUCACCCAAACAAGGGGAGUAUUGUUUUUUUGUGUUGUUUUGUAUAUAUAUAUAUUUUUUUGUGGGGGGGAGGGGGUCUGGGGAUAGCUAUCUGCGGUGUGCGUCUGUGCGUGCGUCUGUGUGUGUGUGUGUCUGUGUGUGCGUCUGUGUGUGCGUCUGUGCACGUGCGUCUGUGUGCGUGCAUCUGUGUGUAUGUCUUUUUUUUGGUUGUGUGUGUGUGAAUAUUUUUUUUGGUAUAAAUAUAUAGGUGGUAGGCCUUAAUGUUAGGAUAUUUGACACAGAUUAAUAUAGAAGAUGGUUUAGGUUAGUUAAGGGUUAAGUGAGGCAUAGAGAGAGAGAGAGAGAGAGGAAGACAGAUAUUAAUAGGAUUAGCUUAUAUUUUUUUUAGGGUUUUAAGUAAGUAUCGAGGUGGCAGGUCAGAAUGAUAUAAUAUUUAACACAGAUUAAUAUAGAAGAUAGUUUUAAGUUAGUAUAUAUGAAAGGGUUAAGUGAGGCAUAGAGAGAGAGAGAUAGGGUUAUUAAUAGGAUGACAGGAGUAUAUAUGAAAGGGUUAAGUGAGGCAUAGAGAGAGAGAGAGAUAGGGUUAUUAAUAGGAUGACAGGAGUAUAUAUGAAAGGGUUAAGUGAGGCAUAGAAAGGGUUAUUAAUAGGAUUAGGAUGACAGGGUGUAUGAAUGUUUAACUCAGAUUAUAUUGAAAGUUUAUUUCUUUAUAAUCUGAGUUUGUAUGGCAUGUUGAGUAUUAGUAUGUUAUUUUUGUAGUGGUGGUAGUGGUGGUGGGACGUAUGAAUGAUAUUUUUUUUUUUUUUUUUUGGUGGGGGGGGGGCAAGGGGGGUAUAUAUAUAUAGUGUUAUAUAGAUUUUUUUUUUUUUUUUUUUCCCCAGAUCUUUGGUAAGAGAUCUGGGGAUUAUGUAUGUAUGUAUGUCUAGCCAGUAUUUUGGUAAGAUACUGGCUAGUGUGUGUGUGUGUGUG
Molecule: long non-coding RNA, 2306 nt
Organism: Scylla paramamosain (green mud crab)
Lineage: Eukaryota; Metazoa; Arthropoda; Malacostraca; Decapoda; Portunidae
Exons: 3
Source: RefSeq, a predicted model, not a curated record